This 926-nucleotide ribosomal RNA is filed under the name uncultured bacterium. Its description in RNAcentral is "bacterial SSU rRNA". It matches the Rfam family "Bacterial small subunit ribosomal RNA", at positions 539 to 1480 of the family's 1533-position model. The record is from RNAcentral.
CGUUAUCCGGAUUAUUGGGUUUAAAGGGAGCGUAGAUGGAUGUUUAAGUCAGUUGUGAAAGUUUGCGGCUCAACCGUAAAAUUGCAGUUGAUACUGGAUAUCUUGAGUGCAGUUGAGGCAGGCGGAAUUCGUGGUGUAGCGGUGAAAUGCUUAGAUAUCACGAAGAACUCCGAUUGCGAAGGCAGCCUGCUAAGCUGCAACUGACAUUGAGGCUCGAAAGUGUGGGUAUCAAACAGGAUUAGAUACCCUGGUAGUCCACACGGUAAACGAUGAAUACUCGCUGUUUGCGAUAUACGGCAAGCGGCCAAGCGAAAGCGUUAAGUAUUCCACCUGGGGAGUACGCCGGCAACGGUGAAGCUCAAAGGAAUUGACGGGGGCCCGCACAAGCGGAGGAACAUGUGGUUUAAUUCGAUGAUACGCGAGGAACCUUACCCGGGCUUAAAUUGCAGAUGAAUUACGGUGAAAGCCGUAAGCCGCAAGGCAUCUGUGAAGGUGCUGCAUGGUUGUCGUCAGCUCGUGCCGUGAGGUGUCGGCUUAAGUGCCAUAACGAGCGCAACCCUUGUUGUCAGUUACUAACAGGUUCUGCUGAGGACUCUGACAAGACUGCCAUCGUAAGAUGUGAGGAAGGUGGGGAUGACGUCAAAUCAGCACGGCCCUUACGUCCGGGGCUACACACGUGUUACAAUGGGGGGUACAGAGGGCCGCUACCACGCGAGUGGAUGCCAAUCCCCAAAACCUCUCUCAGUUCGGACUGGAGUCUGCAACCCGACUCCACGAAGCUGGAUUCGCUAGUAAUCGCGCAUCAGCCACGGCGUGGUGAAUACGUUCCCGGGCCUUGUACACACCGCCCGUCAAGCCAUGGGAGCCGGGGGUACCUGAAGUGCGUAACCGCGAGGAGCGCCCUAGGGUAAAACUGGUGACUGGGG